CCUACGGGCGGCAGCAGUGGGGAAUAUUGGACAAUGGGCGAAAGCCUGAUCCAGCCAUGCCGCGUGUGUGAAGAAGGCCUUCGGGUUGUAAAGCACUUUCAGUGGGGAAGAAAGCCUUGGGGCUAAUACCCUCGAGGAAGGACAUCACCCACAGAAGAAGCACCGGCUAACUCCGUGCCAGCAGCCGCGGUAAUACGGAGGGUGCGAGCGUUAAUCGGAAUUACUGGGCGUAAAGCGCGCGUAGGUGGUCUGAUAAGCCGGUUGUGAAAGCCCCGGGCUCAACCUGGGAACGGCAUCCGGAACUGUCAGGCUAGAGUGCAGGAGAGGAAGGUAGAAUUCCCGGUGUAGCGGUGAAAUGCGUAGAGAUCGGGAGGAAUACCAGUGGCGAAGGCGGCCUUCUGGACUGACACUGACGCUGAGGUGCGAAAGCGUGGGUAGCAAACAGGAUUAGAUACCCUAGUAGUC
RNAcentral lists this ribosomal RNA (465 nucleotides) under Vreelandella stevensii. RNAcentral describes it as "partial 16S ribosomal RNA". It matches the Rfam family "Bacterial small subunit ribosomal RNA", at positions 338 to 795 of the family's 1533-position model. The record is from RNAcentral. Lineage: Bacteria; Pseudomonadati; Pseudomonadota; Gammaproteobacteria; Oceanospirillales; Halomonadaceae.